Molecule: non-coding RNA, 18 nt
Filed under: Arabidopsis thaliana (thale cress)
Lineage: Eukaryota; Viridiplantae; Streptophyta; Magnoliopsida; Brassicales; Brassicaceae
Source: RNAcentral
CGAUUGAGAGCAACAAGA